RNAcentral lists this ribosomal RNA (429 nucleotides) under Fusobacteriota bacterium. RNAcentral describes it as "Fusobacteria bacterium partial 16S ribosomal RNA". It matches the Rfam family "Bacterial small subunit ribosomal RNA", at positions 355 to 776 of the family's 1533-position model. Lineage: Bacteria; Fusobacteriati; Fusobacteriota. The record is from RNAcentral.
UGGGGAAUCUUCCGCAAUGGCCGAAAGUCUGACGGAGCAACGCCGCGUGAGUGAAGACGGCCUUCGGGUUGUAAAGCCCUGUUUUUCGGGAAGAACGAUUCGUUUGUGAACAAUGAACGGAAGUGACGGUACCGAACGAGAAAGCCACGGCUAACUACGUGCCAGCAGCCGCGGUAAUACGUAGGUGGCAAGCGUUGUCCGGAAUUAUUGGGCGUAAAGAGCGCGUAGGCGGUAUGGUAAGUCUGUCUUAGAAGUGCGGGGCUUAACGCCGUAAGGGGACAGGGACUGUCAUACUGGAGUCUCAGAGGGGAAAGCAGAAUUCCUAGGUGCGCGGUUGAAUGCGUAGGGAAUAGGAAGAACACCGGGGGCGAAGGGUGCGAUCAGGACGAGCACUGACGCUAAAGCGCGAAAGCGUGGGGAGCGAACAGG